This 467-nucleotide ribosomal RNA is filed under the name uncultured bacterium. RNAcentral's name for it is "partial 16S ribosomal RNA". It matches the Rfam family "Bacterial small subunit ribosomal RNA", at positions 28 to 506 of the family's 1533-position model. The record is from RNAcentral.
GACGAACGCUGGCGGCGUGCUUAACACAUGCAAGUCGAACGGAAAGGCCCUGCUUUUGUGGGGUGCUCGAGUGGCGAACGGGUGAGUAACACGUGAGUAACCUGCCCUUGACUUUGGGAUAACUUCAGGAAACUGGGGCUAAUACCGGAUAGGAGCUCCUGCUGCAUGGUGGGGGUUGGAAAGUUUCGGCGGUUGGGGUUGGACUCGCGGCUUAUCAGCUUGUUGGUGGGGUAGUGGCUUACCAAGGCUUUGACGGGUAGCCGGCCUGAGAGGGUGACCGGCCACAUUGGGACUGAGAUACGGCCCAGACUCCUACGGGAGGCAGCAGUGGGGAAUAUUGCACAAUGGGCGGAAGCCUGAUGCAGCAACGCCGCGUGCGGGAUGACGGCCUUCGGGUUGUAAACCGCUUUCGCCUGUGACGAAGCGUGAGUGACGGUAAUGGGUAAAGAAGCACCGGCUAACUACGU